Molecule: non-coding RNA, 25 nt
Filed under: Mus musculus (house mouse)
Lineage: Eukaryota; Metazoa; Chordata; Mammalia; Rodentia; Muridae
Source: RNAcentral
UCCCUCACUGCACUUGAAACCCAGA